CUUGCUGUUUAUUUAUUUUUUUUUUUGUCUAGAGAGUAGAGACUCUACUAUAAUGUGAUUACUACUACUUUAUCUCUGAUAGAUUUUUUACUUUUGACAAUAAACUGAUAUGAACACUAACAUUAUAAUUUGCAAAGUAUGCACUUGAGAAAAGUCUGUUCUGUUGUUGUUGGGGUUCCUUGGAAAUUUCUUAUUGCAUUAGUGAAUACUGAAUAGUCAACUUUAGCAGUCCUUUUUAAUUUUAUUACUGUGAUUAAUUGGGUGAAACCAUAAAAAUGAGUGAUCUUUAUCUUUUGAUUGUGUAUGGAGGAAGAUGUUGUAUCAAAAUAAGAGAUUAUUAUGUGUUUGGUGCUGCUAAUAGUAAGUUAUAUUGAGCUAAAUUAUUCUUUUUCUUCUAUCUAUCUAUGUUUUGCAAAUAAAUUUUGGACUUCAAAACUAGCAUCUUUGAUAACAGAGUGGAGGACUGAAACAUUUUUAGAGUCUUCAAUGUGAAUGCCAUCAGUAUUGGGACUUAGAGCAGGAGAGUUUAUAGAAACAGAGUCAACUUGACUUGACAACUUGUAUAUGCCAUCAAUAUAUUGUUUUGUAUAUGUUAGUGUUUGUUACAGUAAAACCAUUAUAAAUUAAGAACUUUAUGACUUGACAACUUGACAAAAUUAUAAUUUGAUCGAGGCUAUUAAUUUAUCAAGGCUAUUUUGUAUAAUUAUUUGUGUUGUAAUGGUGUUGAUGAUGAUGAUGAUUAUUAUUUUGUAUAAUAAAUUACAGAUGUAAUUAACAUUAUUAUUAAAUCAUUUUUAUUUACAAAAGUGGUAAUAUAGGUUUUAGAAAUAAUUUUAGUGAUCAAGUCUAACUAUCAAAAAUUAACAUUUAUUUUUCUUAUGGCACUCAUUGUUUUGUUAACAACAAUUUAUUUACUUAGCUAACAUUGGUUUAUGUAAUAGUUAGUAAUCAAUAGUCCUUGAAAAAGUCAUUUUGAAUGUGAUGCAGCAGAAACUAAUAAAAUAAAAUAAAUAAAAUUACAAUUAGCUUAUUAUAAAUAUAUAUUUAUUAGUAGAUUAAUUUAAUUUAAUUUAAUUACAACAGAUGAUGAGAGAAAGGUGAAGUUUCUGAAAAGCUUUCGAGGAGCUAAGACGAGAUGACAAAGCAAAAGGAUGCAAAUAAGCCAAAAGGACGAGGCAGGACAAAAAAGAAUGACAUCAACAAUCUGAAAGCUCAAGGACGCAAGACAAAACUAGAGUGGAAUGAGAAAUGAGAACCUAUAGGAACAGCAUAUGCAGAUAUGCAAUCAUGGAUUGGGGUUAAAGCAAGAUCUACAGUCCCUCUAAAUUAUGAUGAUUGGAGACAUGUAGAUUCGAAACUCAAGGGGAAAAUAUGGAAAGACACAUACAGGUUCUUGACAAGACUCAUAUUUCUCUUCAGGCCAUGUUCUUGGAAUAUAUGAGAGUAAAAGGUAAAAAUGAGUUUGUGAGGGUUCCUGUCAACCCAUCCUUAUUCUACCGAGUUCACAUCUACAUAACUUCCGAAGAUGUCAUACAAGUGGCCACCCAAGAUGAACUUACGGGUUCAGCUAUGUUAUUUGGACUAAGAUGCAUUUGGGAAAAUUUAAAUCAAAGACAAAUAUUAGUUCAAAUGCUAUUGUAUUUGGCAAAAAUGGACCGGAGAUAUGGACCUUUGCUUGUCCAAAGCAACCAUACAAUUACGAAUGUGGUUACUAUGUACUAACUUACAUUCGUGAUAUGCUUCAACAUUCAAAUCCUAUUACAGCCAUAAAAGCAAAAUUUGGCGGUCUAUCCCAAUAUUUUGAGGACGAUCAUCUCUUACCGCUUCGACAACAGUGGUUAAGUCAAUUGCUUCC
Molecule: RNA transcript, 1855 nt
Organism: Cannabis sativa
Lineage: Eukaryota; Viridiplantae; Streptophyta; Magnoliopsida; Rosales; Cannabaceae
Exons: 5
Source: RefSeq, a predicted model, not a curated record